AUCUGCCUGUUUUGAUGGGUCUGUGUGUGUGAAUAAGCGAGAGUGUGUGGGAGAGAGUGUUUAUGUGUUUCUGGUGGCUAUGCAGAGUGUCUGCCGAGCAGCAAGUGUUUCCUGUCCAGGGAAGCUGAGAGAGAGAUUAUAGGGACUACACGUGUAUUCAGGAUGAAAAUCAGAAAGCACAGGCUGCUCCUGAUCUGCUCAGUCGGGAUUUGUGUCGUCUCUCUUCUCUACUGCUACAAAACUCUCCAACAGGACACGUUUCACCUUUCUGUUCACCAGUCGGGUAUAAAGUCCCUGUUCCUCAGAGGCUUCUUCUGGGGAGAUUCACUAAGCAUAGUCCUGGUCGGCCACAAUAACAUCCUUUCUAACAGGAUCAGCCACCAGAAGGAGGUAAUAAGGAAAGGGGCAUCUGAUGGACAGGUGUCAGAUCUGGUAAUGCCUGAUCCCACUGGUCCGCAUGGGGAUAUCCACAAGCGACAGUAUAUUCUGCAGGAUGAUUUGACCCCAUAUUUUUUAAGCACAGAAGCGGGUGUGCUGUGCUUCCGUGAAGGG
Astyanax mexicanus (Mexican tetra) is the source of this 552-nucleotide long non-coding RNA. RefSeq lists it as uncharacterized. NCBI's taxonomy places the organism in Eukaryota, Metazoa, Chordata, Actinopteri, Characiformes, Acestrorhamphidae. The transcript has 3 exons. The record is from RefSeq and is a predicted model, not a curated record.